RNAcentral lists this ribosomal RNA (253 nucleotides) under uncultured bacterium. RNAcentral's name for it is "partial 16S ribosomal RNA". It matches the Rfam family "Bacterial small subunit ribosomal RNA", at positions 524 to 776 of the family's 1533-position model. The record is from RNAcentral.
UACGAAGGGGGCUAGCGUUGUUCGGAAUUACUGGGCGUAAAGCGUGCGCAGGCGGUUUUGUAAGCCAGGUGUGAAAUCCCCGGGCUCAACCUGGGAACUGCAUUUGUGACUGCAUCGCUGGAGUGCGGCAGAGGGGGAUGGAAUUCCGCGUGUAGCAGUGAAAUGCGUAGAUAUGCGGAGGAACACCGAUGGCGAAGGCAAUCCCCUGGGCCUGCACUGACGCUCAUGCACGAAAGCGUGGGGAGCAAACAGG